This 476-nucleotide ribosomal RNA is filed under the name Proteus mirabilis. RNAcentral's name for it is "bacterial SSU rRNA". It matches the Rfam family "Bacterial small subunit ribosomal RNA", at positions 30 to 494 of the family's 1533-position model. The record is from RNAcentral. Lineage: Bacteria; Pseudomonadati; Pseudomonadota; Gammaproteobacteria; Enterobacterales; Morganellaceae.
AUUGAACGCUGGCGGCAGGCCUAACACAUGCAAGUCGAGCGGUAACAGGAGAAAGCUUGCUUUCUUGCUGACGAGCGGCGGACGGGUGAGUAAUGUAUGGGGAUCUGCCCGAUAGAGGGGGAUAACUACUGGAAACGGUGGCUAAUACCGCAUAAUGUCUACGGACCAAAGCAGGGGCUCUUCGGACCUUGCACUAUCGGAUGAACCCAUAUGGGAUUAGCUAGUAGGUGGGGUAAAGGCUCACCUAGGCGACGAUCUCUAGCUGGUCUGAGAGGAUGAUCAGCCACACUGGGACUGAGACACGGCCCAGACUCCUACGGGAGGCAGCAGUGGGGAAUAUUGCACAAUGGGCGCAAGCCUGAUGCAGCCAUGCCGCGUGUAUGAAGAAGGCCUUAGGGUUGUAAAGUACUUUCAGCGGGGAGGAAGGUGAUAAGGUUAAUACCCUUGUCAAUUGACGUUACCCGCAGAAGAGCACC